This 301-nucleotide ribosomal RNA is filed under the name uncultured bacterium. Its description in RNAcentral is "partial 16S ribosomal RNA". It matches the Rfam family "Bacterial small subunit ribosomal RNA", at positions 509 to 808 of the family's 1533-position model. The record is from RNAcentral.
CAGCAGCCGCGGUAAGACGAACCGUGCAAACGUUACUCGGAAUCACUGGGCUUAAAGCGCACGUAGGCGGCGACAUAAGUUAGAGGUGAAAUCCCAUCGGCUCAACCGUGGAACUGCCUCUAAUACUGUGUUGCUUGAGGGAGAACGGGGCAUUCGGAACUUCCGGUGGAGCGGUGAAAUGUGUUGAUAUCGGAAGGAACGCCGGUGGCGAAAGCGGAAUGCUGGGUCUCUUCUGACGCUGAGGUGCGAAAGCUAGGGUAGCGAACGGGAUUAGAUACCCCAGUAGUCCCUGUCUCUUAUA